UAUUUACUUUAGGCUGAAAAUUUGUACAUCUAGCCAAACUGUUGCCUUAAAACGUUUUUAAAAAUUUAAAGAAUCUGGAAUAAUCACGUAGUCCCAAUUGAGUUUAUGGCACAUUUUGGCCUCAAUUAGCAUUUCAAGCUUAAAGGGUUCGAUCAUCUUUAACUUACCUUUGAUCCUGCCCUAAGGACCAUCUACUUGCCGGAAACAUUUUACAAUACGGCAUAGAUGAGGUAGAGGAAGAAAAGCAGGAUGGCCAGGAUGCCAAAGGUGGUGAACAAGUUGCGGGCUUCGCUCAUCUUGAUUUAAUUUGC
This is a long non-coding RNA of Drosophila simulans, 311 nucleotides long. RefSeq lists it as uncharacterized. The record is from RefSeq and is a predicted model, not a curated record. The transcript is spliced from 2 exons. NCBI's taxonomy places the organism in Eukaryota, Metazoa, Arthropoda, Insecta, Diptera, Drosophilidae.